AUUGAACGCUGGCGGCAUGCUUUACACAUGCAAGUCGAACGGUAACAGGCUGCCAGGUGCUGCCGAGUGGCGGACGGGUGCGUAAUGCAUCGGAACGUGCCCAGUCGUGGGGGUUCGCUACUCGUAAGGGUAGCUAAUAUCGCAUACGAUCUCUGGAUGAAAGCGGGGGACCGUAAGGCCUCGCGCGAUCGGAGCGGCCGUUGUGAGAUUAGGUAGUUGGUGGGGUAAAGGCUCACCAAGCCACCGAUCUGUAGCUGGUCUGAGGGGUCGACCACCCACACUGGAACUGAGACACGGCCCAGACCCCGACGGGAGGCAGCGGUGGGGAAUUUGGGACAAUGGGCGCAAGCCUGAUCCAGCAAUGCCGGGGGCAGGAAGAAGGCCUGCGGGUGGUAAACUGCUUUUGUACGGAACGAAACCGCUCUGGUUAAUACCCGCGGCUAUGAACGGUACCGUAAAAAAAAGCACCGCCAAACUCCUG
Molecule: ribosomal RNA, 481 nt
Filed under: uncultured bacterium
Lineage: Bacteria
Description: partial 16S ribosomal RNA
Rfam family: Bacterial small subunit ribosomal RNA
Source: RNAcentral